GCAAAACGCGAAGAACCUUACCAAGGCUUGACAUGCACGGGAAGCCACCAGAGAUGGUGGUCUCUUUGGACACUCGUGCACAGGUGGUGCAUGGUUGUCGUCAGCUCGUGUCGUGAGAUGUUGGGUUAAGUCCCGCAACGAGCGCAACCCUCGUCCCAUGUUGCCAGCGGGUUAUGCCGGGGACUCAUGGGAGACUGCCGGGGUCAACUCGGAGGAAGGUGGGGAUGACGUCAAAUCAUCAUGCCCCUUAUGUCUUGGGCUUCACGCAUGCUACAAUGGCCGGUACAAAGGGCUGCGAUGUCGUAAGGUGGAGCGAAUCCCAAAAAGCCGGUCUCAGUUCGGAUUGGGGUCUGCAACUCGACCCCAUGAAGUCGGAGUCGCUAGUAAUCGCAGAUCAGCAACGCUGCGGUGAAUACGUUCCCGGGUCUUGUACACACCG
Molecule: ribosomal RNA, 439 nt
Filed under: uncultured bacterium
Lineage: Bacteria
Description: bacterial SSU rRNA
Rfam family: Bacterial small subunit ribosomal RNA
Source: RNAcentral